GAUGAACGCUAGCGAUAGGCCUAACACAUGCAAGUCGAGGGGCAGCACGGGAGUAGCAAUACAACUGGUGGCGACCGGCGCACGGGUGAGUAACGCGUAUGUAAUCUACCUACAACAGGGGGAUAACCCGGAGAAAUCCGGACUAAUACCGCAUAAAACAGGGGUCCCGCCUGGGACUAUUUGUUAAAGAUUUAUCGGUUGUAGAUGAGCAUGCGUUCCAUUAGAUAGUUGGUAAGGUAACGGCUUACCAAGUCAGCGAUGGAUGGGGGAACUGAGAGGUUUGUCCCCCACACUGGAACUGAGACACGGACCAGACUCCUACGGGAGGCAGCAGUGAGGAAUAUUGGUCAAUGGGCGAGAGCCUGAACCAGCCAAAUCGCGUGAAGGAAGACUGCCUUAUGGGUUGUAAACUUCUUUUACAGGGGAAUAAAAAGACAUACGAGUAUGUCAUUGCAUGUACCCUGUGAAUAAGCAUCGGCUAACUCCGUGCCAGCCGCCGCUUAA
Molecule: ribosomal RNA, 504 nt
Filed under: uncultured bacterium
Lineage: Bacteria
Description: partial 16S ribosomal RNA
Rfam family: Bacterial small subunit ribosomal RNA
Source: RNAcentral